RNAcentral lists this ribosomal RNA (492 nucleotides) under uncultured bacterium. Its description in RNAcentral is "partial 16S ribosomal RNA". It matches the Rfam family "Bacterial small subunit ribosomal RNA", at positions 29 to 507 of the family's 1533-position model. The record is from RNAcentral.
AGUGAACGCUGGCGGUAGGCCUAACACAUGCAAGUCGAACGGCAGCACAGUAAGAGCUUGCUCUUACGGGUGGCGAGUGGCGGACGGGUGAGGAAUACAUCGGAAUCUACUUUUUCGUGGGGGAUAACGUAGGGAAACUUACGCUAAUACCGCAUACGACCUACGGGUGAAAGCAGGGGAUCUUCGGACCUUGCGCGAUUGAAUGAGCCGAUGUCGGAUUAGCUAGUUGGCGGGGUAAAGGCCCACCAAGGCGACGAUCCGUAGCUGGUCUGAGAGGAUGAUCAGCCACACUGGAACUGAGACACGGUCCAGACUCCUAAGGGAGGCAGCAGUGGGGAAUAUUGGACAAUGGGCGCAAGCCUGAUCCAGCCAUACCGCGUGGGUGAAGAAGGCCUUCGGGUUGUAAAGCCCUUUUGUUGGGAAAGAAAAGCAGCAGGUUAAUACCCCGCUGUCCUGACGGUACCCAAAGAAUAAGCACCGGCUAACUUCGUG